AGAGUUUGAUUCUGGCUCAGAACGAACGCUGGCGGCGUGGAUAAGACAUGCAAGUCGAACGGGAUCAUUGGAGUAGCAAUACAACGAUGGUCUAGUGGCGAACGGGUGCGUAACACGUGGAUACAUUCCGGGAAGCGGGGGAUAGCCCAGGGAAACUUGGAUUAAUACCGCAUGUGAUCGAGAGAUCAAAGACGGGGACCGCAAGGCCUGUCACUUCCCGAUUGGUCCGCGGCCUAUCAGCUAGUUGGCGGGGUAAAGGCCCACCAAGGCUACGACGGGUAGCUGGUCUUAGAGGACGACCAGCCACACUGGAACUGAGACACGGUCCAGACACCUACGGGUGGCAGCAGUCGAGAAUCUUUCACAAUGGGGGCAACCCUGAUGGAGCGACGCCGCGUGGAGGAUAAGGUCUUCGGAUUGUAAACUCCUGUCAUGUGAGAACAAGGCUGCAGGGUUAAUACCUUUGCAGAUUGAUGGUAUCACAAGAGGAAGAGACGGCUAACUCUGUGCCAGCAGCCGCGGUAAUACAGAGGUCUCAAGCGUUGUUCGGAAUCACUGGGCGUAAAGGGUGCGUAGGUGGCGUGGUAAGUCAGAUGUGAAAGCCCGGGGCUCAACCUCGGAACAGCAUCCGAUACUGCCGUGCUAGAGUACUGAAGAGGUGACUAGAAUUCUCGGUGUAGCAGUGAAAUGCGUAGAUAUCGAGAGGAAUACCAAAGGCGAAGGCAGGUCACUGGGCAGUUACUGACACUGAGGCACGAAGGCCAGGGGAGCAAACGGGAUUAGAUACCCCGGUAGUCCUGGCAGUAAACGGUGCACGUUUGGUGUGGGCGCAAUCGACCGCGUCCGCGCCGGAGCUAACGCGUUAAACGUGCCGCCUGGGAAGUACGGUCGCAAGAUUAAAACUCAAAGAAAUUGACGGGGACCCGCACAAGCGGUGGAGUAUGUGGCUUAAUUCGAUGCAACGCGAAGAACCUUACCUGGUCUUGACAUGCAUUGUGUCUCCGGUGAAAGCCGGAUAGGGUAGCAAUACCCGCUUUGCACAGGUGCUGCAUGGCUGUCGUCAGCUCGUGUCGUGAGAUGUUGGGUUAAGUCCCGC
RNAcentral lists this ribosomal RNA (1096 nucleotides) under wastewater metagenome. RNAcentral's name for it is "bacterial SSU rRNA". It matches the Rfam family "Bacterial small subunit ribosomal RNA", at positions 8 to 1090 of the family's 1533-position model. The record is from RNAcentral.